Molecule: unclassified non-coding RNA, 884 nt
Filed under: uncultured Bordetella sp.
Lineage: Bacteria; Pseudomonadati; Pseudomonadota; Betaproteobacteria; Burkholderiales; Alcaligenaceae
Description: partial 16S-23S ribosomal RNA intergenic spacer
Rfam family: Bacterial small subunit ribosomal RNA
Source: RNAcentral
GGUUUGAUCAUGGCUCAGAUUGAACGCUGGCGGGAUGCUUUACACAUGCAAGUCGAACGGCAGCACGGACUUCGGUCUGGUGGCGAGUGGCGAACGGGUGAGUAAUGUAUCGGAACGUGCCUAGUAGCGGGGGGAUCUACGCGAAAGCGUAGCUUACUACCGCAUACCGCCCCUGGGGAAAGCGGGGACCUUCGGGCCUCGCACUAUUAGAGCGGCCGAUAUCGGAUUAGCUAGUUGGUGGGGUAACGGCUCACCAAGGCGACGAUCCAGGCUGGUUUGAGAGGACGACCAGCCACACUGGGACUGAGACACGGCCCAGACUCCUACGGGAGCAGCAGUGGGGAAUUUUGACAAUGGGGAAACCCUGAUCCAGCCCAUCCCCGCGUGCGAUGAAGGCCUUCGGGUUGUAAAGCACUUUUGGCAGUGAAAGAAACGGCACGGGAUAAUACCCCGUGCAACUGACGGUACCUGCAGAAUAAGCACCGGCUAACUACGUGCCAGCAGCCGCGGUAAUACGUAGGGUGCGGCGUUAAUCGGAAUUACUGGGCGUAAAAGCGUGCGCAGGCGGUUCGGAAAGAAAGAUGUGAAAUCCCAGAGCUUAACUUUGGAACUGCAUUUUUAACUACCGAGCUAGAGUGUGUGUCAGAGGGAGGUGGAAUUCCGCGUGUAGCAGUGAAAUGCGUAGAUAUGCGGAGGAACACCGAUGGCGAAGGCAGCCCCUGAUAACACUGACGCUCAUGCACGAAAGCGUGGGGAGCAAACAGGAUUAGAUACCCGGUAGUCCACGCCCUAAACGAUGUCAACUAGCUGUUGGGGCCUUCGGGCUCCGGUAGCGCAGCUAACGCGUGAAGUUGACCGCCUGGGGAGUACGGUCGCAGAUAAUC